RNAcentral lists this small RNA (85 nucleotides) under Flavobacterium enshiense DK69. RNAcentral's name for it is "Flavobacterium sp. DK69 Flavo-1 RNA". It matches the Rfam family "Flavo-1 RNA". The record is from Rfam by way of RNAcentral. Lineage: Bacteria; Pseudomonadati; Bacteroidota; Flavobacteriia; Flavobacteriales; Flavobacteriaceae.
GCUUAGCCCCGAUGGAAACGGCAUCCUUUUUGUCUCGUUUUUUUUAAAACGAGACAAAAAGAUAUAGUGUACAGCGGGAUUAGCU